CAGCAGCCGCGGUAAUACAGAGGUGGCAAGCGUUGUUCGGAAUUACUGGGCGUAAAGGGCGCGUAGGCGGCCAUCUAAGUCAGACGUGAAAUCCCCCGGCUUAACCUGGGAACUGCGUCUGAUACUGGGAGGCUAGAGUUUGGGAGAGGGAUGUAGAAUUCCAGGUGUAGCGGUGAAAUGCGUAGAUAUCUGGAGGAAUACCGGUGGCGAAGGCGGCAUCCUGGACCAAUACUGACGCUGAGGCGCGAAAGCUAGGGGAGCAAACGGGAUUAGAUACCCCGGUAGUCCUAGCCCUAAACGAUGAAUACUUGGUGUGGCGGGUAUCGAUCCCUGCCGUGCCGAAGCUAACGCAUUAAGUAUUCCGCCUGGGGAGUACGGUCGCAAGGCUGAAACUUAAAGGAAUUGACGG
This 409-nucleotide ribosomal RNA is filed under the name uncultured bacterium. Its description in RNAcentral is "bacterial SSU rRNA". It matches the Rfam family "Bacterial small subunit ribosomal RNA", at positions 509 to 916 of the family's 1533-position model. The record is from RNAcentral.